Molecule: unclassified non-coding RNA, 205 nt
Filed under: plant metagenome
Description: partial contains small subunit ribosomal RNA, internal transcribed spacer 1, and 5.8S ribosomal RNA
Source: RNAcentral
GUAGGUGAACCUGCGGAAGGAUCAUUACGUACUGUAGGCCGGUCUGACCGGUUCUAUUCUACCCUGUUUUUUGCGCACUCUCUGUUUCCUCGGCAGGCUUUGCCUGCCGAUAGGACCUUAUUUUAAACUCUUUGUUAUCUUAGUAUUCAGUGUCAAUAUAAUACAAAAUUGUAACAACUUUCAACAACGGAUCUCUUGGUUCUGG